ACACAGCAAAACCACCAGUGUUGAUUUUACAGAGUUCGCUACUCUAGAGUGGUCAGGUGUUAGUUGUAGUGUUCGUUUAUAAUUUAUCAUCACUCACAGUGUCAGAAACUUCCACAAGGGGGUGUUGCUUUCCAGUGUUCCAAUAAUAACGUUUGCGGGGAGUUAAGAUUCACGCCACGCCCCUUCUUUCUGAAGCGGGAAAGUCAGUUACUCAGCAUCGACCGACCUGGACUCACGUUACUGAGGUUUGGAACAUGCUGCUGAAGUUGGUUAUCAGGGCUCCAGGAAAUGUAUCAAACUGCAGGAUUGAUUUAUUUUUGCUCAUUAGUGAAGGUGGUAAGCUAAACUGACUGUGGACUAAUGUAUGCAUUGUUGAUGACACUGAAAUCAAGGAAGACAUUCUACAAGAUGUGCUGCUUACAGUUAG
Misgurnus anguillicaudatus (oriental weatherfish) is the source of this 427-nucleotide non-coding RNA. Lineage: Eukaryota; Metazoa; Chordata; Actinopteri; Cypriniformes; Cobitidae. The record is from RefSeq and is a predicted model, not a curated record.